CGACCACUAGCACGUGGUUUUUACUUAUAGACUUUCACAUGUAAUAUGCUUACGCGGAAGGGGCUCACCGACAAUGGUGACUUGGAAGACUGUUUGGAUCAGCAAUCUUCAAAAAUUUAUUGCUGCCAAGGAUGCUAUGCAAGGUAUGGAGAGCUAUCCCAGAACGUGGAUGUUGUGCUUCUAAAGCUACCAGACAAUUUGUACUAUCACUGAGGUAUAUUAUAUCCUAUUCACUCGAUCGUG
Molecule: long non-coding RNA, 243 nt
Filed under: Brassica rapa (field mustard)
Lineage: Eukaryota; Viridiplantae; Streptophyta; Magnoliopsida; Brassicales; Brassicaceae
Description: long non-coding RNA (BRAP_LNC001047)
Source: RNAcentral